RNAcentral lists this ribosomal RNA (438 nucleotides) under uncultured archaeon DGGE band PSARC-1. Its description in RNAcentral is "bacterial SSU rRNA". It matches the Rfam family "Archaeal small subunit ribosomal RNA", at positions 426 to 861 of the family's 1478-position model. The record is from RNAcentral.
GCUGGUGAGAAAAGGGCCGGGCAAGACCGGUGCCAGCCGCCGCGGUAAUACCGGCGGCUCGAGUGGUGGCCAAUAUUACUGGGSCUAAAGGCUUCGUAGCCGGUCUGUUAAGUCUCUGGGGAAAUCCCACGGCUUAACUGGUWGGCGUCCAAGGGAUACUGGCAGRCUAGGGACCGGGAGAGGCAAGMGGUACUYCMGGGGUAGGGGUGAAAUCCUGUAAUCCUUGGGGGACCACCAGUGGCGAAGGCGUCUCACCAGAACGCGUCCGACAGUGAGGGACGAAAGCUGGGGGAGCGAACCGGAUUAGAUACCCGGGUAGUCCCAGCUGUAAACGAUGCACGUUAGGUGUUUGGAUGGCCACGCGUCAUUSARGUGCCGAAGAGCAGUUGUGAAGCAUGCCCGCCUGGGAAGUACGGUCGCACACGCUGAAACUUAAAG